AGCAAGUUGGGCACUGAGGCACUGCAGCCAGGCUCUUCUGCCACGAAUGAGACCACCAAGUGAGUAACCUGUACUGGGCUGGGUAGACUGAGCCAGUAUCCAGCCACUCAGCACUGCAGCUUAAAAAUGCACUUGGCAAAAAAAGUCAGCAAGACAAAAGAAUUGGGAUGACAGAAGACAAGGGGACAAGGCUGCUUCUUACUGCAAGAGCAGGAUGAUUUUCAAAGAGUCAAGGGAAAGCAAACCAUCAAAAGGAGAAAAAGAAACAAGUACAUGAGCAAGUCUGCACAGAAGACUUAAAACUUGGAGAUGCCACUGUGCCCUGGAGAGCAAUAGUUUGAUCCUGGCUGGAGCUUGGUGUGCUGGACAGAGAAGAGUCAGAGGGAGGCACUUAGCACACAUUCUGCACACUGUUUGGCAAUCCAUGGCUACCUCAAAGUGGCUUCUAACUGUAGUUUUUGGAUUUAAUUCUCAGUGCCCAUAUGGCCCCAUGUUUGUAAGACAUAUGUUCAGACGAAAGUUACUGUGCUGAAGUGCAUCAGUAACUGAACUAGGAGUUACAGUAAUUCUUAACGUGGUUUCUGUGGAAUCCCUUGGCUUGCACCACCCGGAAGCUCAAAGCAGGUGACCACAGAGAUCUCCCCGGGCAUUUCAAUUCAUUUGCAUGAUUCUCCCCAGCCCACAACUCACAGCUUCAUCAACUCCCUGGCAUGCCUUAAAAGCCAUGCACACAAAGGCCUAAUUUCAAUCGAAAUAGUCUUUUCCUCCUACCUGUCCUAUCCUAUACCCUAAAGCUAACUGCUUGGUUAAAUGCUCUAAACAAAUCGCUGGGAACCCUAGAAAUAAAUACAGCAGUUAAGGAGUUUUAUUCUGUAGGCAACAUCUUCCUCACCAGCCCCAGGUUCCCGCAUUGGAUUGUGAACUCUGUGAGGAUGCUCUCUCCUUCCUGCAAGCUAACACAACUGUUAGAUUGGCUCCACUGUUAUCCAGCAGAAGAAGAAACGCACAUUCCCUCUUAUAACUCUUUGCUCAGCCAUCCUAACGUGGGAAGGACACGCAAUUGAGUUCUGCUGCACUGCCAUGAUCCAGCUCCUAUCUUGAAUUUUUCUCCCUCUUGUAUGUGCAUCUCUAUUUGUGAAAGCUCCAGCCAAAGCUUAAAAAUAGAAGGAAAGCCUGAAAGGAAUAUAAGAGGAAGCUGUUGUUAGCUUGUUGAUUCACGCAGCUCAGUGGUGGCUAGAUUGUACGGCACUGCUUGACUGAUCACGUAUGAAUAGAAAAUUGAAAUGAACAAAUGUUCCUUAUUAAUAUGAUGACACUUAGAAAGGAGAUCCUGAGAGUGGAAGGUGGAUCCCCCACAGAGUAAGGAUUUGAGAAAGUUGCCUGGCAAUUCCAGUAAUGUUUGCUACAGAAGAGUCAGUACCAAAGCAAAGGCUAGCAUAGUUUACUGCUUCCUACGGGAACCUUUAGGAGAGUGCUCAGGUUUGGAAAACUGGCGUAAGGGGCUGGGCUGGCUUGUGUAAUACCGAGCGUGCUCAAAGUCAUCGAGGAGAGGCUGUGAUCUUGAAGACUUAUCACCUUUGUGUCGCUGAGUUUCAGGUCCUUCUUUUGACCUUGAGCGCGGGGACUCACUUGCAUCUUGCUUCCAGUCUUGAUCAUUUCUCUUCCUUUCAAAGGAAGACUUCUCUUUCUCCUUCCCUUUCUUGAAAGCCUUUUUUUCCUCUGCCAUCAAGAGACGAGCAAUCUCCUCAUCUUGGGCCACUUGAGCUGCCAUCUGAUCUGCUUGGUUGGCCAGGAGCUCUUCCUCUUGCAGCUUCCGAGCAAUCUCUGCAUCAGACAAUUCCUGUUCCCUUCGGGGUUUAUCGUAAACGGUUUGCUUUGUCCCCCUCAACUUAGUUCCUCCAUUUUCUGAAUAAUAGCUAUCCUCAUAGACUUUGUGUCCCUGGGAUUCUGGAUAGUGCUUCUUGCGCUUUUUCUCUUCCUGCAGUUCUUUCUGUUGCAGAAGACGGGCAAUGUCCUCAUCUUUUUCCUCUUGCCGGCGUCGCUGCUCUGCUUCAAAAACCAGCUUCACUUGGAUUUCCUGAGCAAUCUCUGAGUCCUGCCGUUCCAGGUCUUUUUGGCGUUUCUGGAUUUGAGCACGUGCUUUCAGAUCCUCCUCCUCUUGCAGUUGCUUGGCCACCUGCAAGUCAUGCUGCACCAGACGAUUACGCUGAAUGUUUGUCGCCAAGUGAUGCUCAAUUUCUUGUUCCUGCAAGUUAUGGGCCAAGGUAUGGUCUUCCAGAACGGCAAAGUCUCGACACACUUCCUUGACGCCGGGCAGCUUGGACUGGUCGAUGCCGAUCUCGGCCAUGCUGCUGCAGCCGCCGGGCGGGGCGGGCAGGCCCCACGCUGAGGGCAGAGCCGCCCGUGCCCCGCCGCACCGCGCGAAGUUACCCGCGGAGGGAUCCGGAGCGAGCGGCCGUACGGCGCGGCGGAGGGGACAGAAAGCGGCGGGCGGGCGGGGUGGGGCGGGGCUGUGCGCCGGGCGGCCCCGGGUCGCUGCCUUUCGGGUUCGGCCGCGCCGAUUGGUCUUUGUUUGCCUCUUUUUCU
RNAcentral lists this long non-coding RNA (2586 nucleotides) under Gallus gallus (chicken). The record is from RNAcentral. Lineage: Eukaryota; Metazoa; Chordata; Aves; Galliformes; Phasianidae.